This 253-nucleotide ribosomal RNA is filed under the name uncultured bacterium. RNAcentral describes it as "partial 16S ribosomal RNA". It matches the Rfam family "Bacterial small subunit ribosomal RNA", at positions 524 to 776 of the family's 1533-position model. The record is from RNAcentral.
UACGGAGGAUCCAAGCGUUAUCCGGAUUUAUUGGGUUUAAAGGGUGCGUAGGCGGAUUGAUAAGUUAGAGGUGAAAUGUCCGAGCUCAACUCGGGAACUGCCUCUAAUACUGUUGAUCUAGAGAGUAGAUGCGGUAGGCGGAAUGUAUGGUGUAGCGGUGAAAUGCUUAGAGAUCAUACAGAACACCGAUUGCGAAGGCGGCUUACCAAUCUAUAUCUGACGUUGAGGCACGAAAGCGUGGGGAGCAAACAGG